This 253-nucleotide ribosomal RNA is filed under the name uncultured bacterium. RNAcentral describes it as "partial 16S ribosomal RNA". It matches the Rfam family "Bacterial small subunit ribosomal RNA", at positions 524 to 776 of the family's 1533-position model. The record is from RNAcentral.
UACGUAGGGGGCAAGCGUUGUCCGGAAUUAUUGGGCGUAAAGCGCGUGUAGGCGGCUCGGUAAGUCUGCUGUGAAAGCCCCGGGCUCAACCUGGGAACUGCAAUGGAAACUGGCGGGCUUGAGUGUGGCAGAGGGGGGUGGAAUUCCGCGUGUAGCAGUGAAAUGCGUAGAGAUGCGGAGGAACACCGAUGGCGAAGGCAGCCCCCUGGGCCAACACUGACGCUCAGGCACGAAAGCGUGGGGAGCAAACAGG